UAAGGAAUAUUGGUCAAUGGGCGCAAGCCUGAACCAGCCAUGCCGCGUGCAGGAAGACGGCCCUAUGGGUUGUAAACUGCUUUUGUCAGGGAAUAAACCCCCGCUCGUGAGCGGGGCUGAAGGUACCUGAAGAAUAAGCAUCGGCUAACUCCGUGCCAGCAGCCGCGGUAAUACGGAGGAUGCAAGCGUUAUCCGGAUUCAUUGGGUUUAAAGGGUGCGCAGGCGGAUUGGUAAGUCAGGGGUGAAAUCCCACAGCUCAACUGUGGA
Molecule: ribosomal RNA, 267 nt
Filed under: uncultured bacterium
Lineage: Bacteria
Description: partial 16S ribosomal RNA
Rfam family: Bacterial small subunit ribosomal RNA
Source: RNAcentral